AACGCACCUUGCACCCUUUGGUAUCCCGAAGGGUAUGCCUGUUUGAGUGUCAUUAAAUUAUCAACCUUUAUGGCUUUGCGGCUAUCUAGGCUUGGAUGUGAGGGUUAUUGUGGGCUUCCUUCAGUGGAUGGUCGACUCCCUUUAAAUGCAUUAGUGGAAUCCUUUGUGGAUCGUCGCAGAGUGUGAUAAUUAUUGUGCUCUAAUGUGACUGUGAAGCAACUCGUAUGGAAUCUGCUUCUAACCGUCCUUAAGUUGGACAACUUUACAAUGACAAUUUGACCUCAAAUCAGGUAGGACUACCCGCUGAACUUAA
RNAcentral lists this unclassified non-coding RNA (313 nucleotides) under uncultured fungus. RNAcentral's name for it is "sequence contains ITS2". The stretch from base 1 to 52 matches the Rfam family "5.8S ribosomal RNA", at positions 103 to 154 of the family's 154-position model. The record is from RNAcentral. Lineage: Eukaryota; Fungi.